CACCCUAAUUGAGCGACACUCCACGCGAGUGCCAAGACCCCUGAACCGAUCAACGCUGCGACGAUGUGCGCCGUCGCGGUCCACACAGUUCCUGCAUUCGAGAACAGCUCGAGUGUGAGAGAAUUCAGGAUCUCGACCACAGUUGGAAUGAGAAAGAAGUGAGGGAGGAGGGAGGUGAUUUAUAGUGCAGGCGGAGUGUGCUUCCAAUACCUGAUGAUCCCUUUGAUUCUUCGAUUUGAAAUAACAAAGUGAAAGGUUCAAAAUUGUAAAUCCUUGCCACCACUAAAAGACAGAGAGAGAGAGAGAGAGAGA
Zingiber officinale is the source of this 312-nucleotide long non-coding RNA. RefSeq lists it as uncharacterized. NCBI's taxonomy places the organism in Eukaryota, Viridiplantae, Streptophyta, Magnoliopsida, Zingiberales, Zingiberaceae. The record is from RefSeq and is a predicted model, not a curated record. The transcript is spliced from 2 exons.